Molecule: non-coding RNA, 116 nt
Filed under: Asticcacaulis benevestitus
Lineage: Bacteria; Pseudomonadati; Pseudomonadota; Alphaproteobacteria; Caulobacterales; Caulobacteraceae
Also listed under: 1 other name
Description: TPP sequence
Rfam family: TPP riboswitch aptamer (THI element)
About the family: Vitamin B(1) in its active form thiamin pyrophosphate (TPP) is an essential coenzyme that is synthesised by coupling of pyrimidine and thiazole moieties in bacteria. The previously detected thiamin-regulatory element, thi box was extended, resulting in a new, highly conserved RNA secondary structure, the THI element, which is widely distributed in eubacteria and also occurs in some archaea.
Source: RNAcentral
CACAGUUCACCGGGGUGUCCGCGCGUAAAGGCGGGCUGAGACGAGGGUCUAGUCCUUCAAACCCGUCGAACCUGAUCCGGGUCAUGCCGGCGAAGGGAGAUGACACGCUGUGCGUC